UGUGUUUGGUAGGGGGCCUGUGCCAAUCCCCGUCAUGUAAUUCAAGUUGAACUAAGGGAAUACAUUAUGGAUCAGUUCUGGGUCUGCAGAGGAGCCAAGGCAAGGCCAAAAACCACUCAGGCUAAGGAAGAGAAGCCACAAGAUACACAGUAGCUUAUCCCAGCAUGCUCUGGUCAACUUGGCAGUCCAUAACAAGGCCAACACAGAUUAAUAUGAUCACAUUCUCACCUCUGAGGAAACAACACCUUCCUGCUGUGAGGCAACAGAGAAACUACAAAUACCCUCACUGUGGUAAUGGAGACGAAUGGGUACAGCCAACAAACAGACAUGGCAGAGCUGAAGAUUAACCAUUAUGAAUGCUGGUGGGUGCGGCAUGCUGUGAGUGGGUAGAAACAAGGACGCACUGAAAGAUGGAUAGAUUUCAUUAGGUGGUGGAAAGGAAGCACUAAGUUUUGAGGUGAAAAACACCUUCAUACAUCUGUACAAAGCCCACCACCCUCACCCCCUCCAAAUAGUUAGAGUUUAAUGUCUCUUUCUCGGUCUUAGAGGGGGAUGGUC
Molecule: long non-coding RNA, 558 nt
Organism: Scatophagus argus
Lineage: Eukaryota; Metazoa; Chordata; Actinopteri; Scatophagidae
Exons: 3
Source: RefSeq, a predicted model, not a curated record